GCAAAUAUGACACAAAAAAUUCAUAAUUUGGAAUAUCAUCAAACCCUAACCUGAAGUUCUAGCAGCAGUUGGGAUACGCUAAUCAGACAAAGACAAUGGCGAGGAAGCGAAAACAGCCACCUCGUCCCGCCAAAUCGGCAGAGCGCGCUUUCAAACAGCAACAACAAGAACAGCCACAGUUGAAUCUAGAAUCAGAGUAUAAAGAAGAGGAACAAUACGAAGAAGAAGAAGAAAGCCAAGAAAUUGAAGAAGAAUUAGCACCAAUCAAUGAAACCUCGAAGCCCCCCUCCACUUCUUCCUCCUCUCCAAGCGACGACGAGGAGCCAAUCCAGAACCUUCUAGAAUCCCUCGGCAAGAAUGAGAUCGCCAAAUUUCUCAUCGAGGCCGCCUCCAAGCACCGCGACGUGGCGGACCGGAUACGCCGCACCGCCGACGCCGACCCCGCGCACCGGAAGAUCUUCGUGCACGGCCUCGGCUGGGACACCACCGCCGACACCCUCACUACCGCGUUCUCCCCCUACGGCGACAUCGAGGACUGCAAGGCCGUCGUGGACAAGGCCACUGGCAAGUCCAAGGGCUACGGCUUCGUCCUCUUCAAGACCCGUCACGCUGCGCGCAAUGCCCUCCGCGAGCCGCAGAAAAGGAUCGGCAACCGCAUUGCCGCAUGCCAGCUGGCGUCCGUGGGCCCAGUCCAGUCGUCGCCGGCGACGAUUUCGACGGCGCCGGGGGCUUCGGAUUUCUUGCAGAGGAAGAUCUACGUGAGCAAUGUGAGUGGGGAAUUGGACCCGCAGAGGCUUCUGUCGUUUUUUGCGCAGUUUGGGGAGAUUGAGGAAGGACCUUUAGGACUUGAUAAGGUAACUGGGAAACCGAAAGGGUUCUGUUUAUUUGUUUAUAAGGGUGUGGAGGGUGCAAAGCGGGCGUUGGAGGUGCCGCACAAGAAGUUUGAGGGGCAUAUUUUGCACUGCCAGAAGGCAAUUGAUGGUCAGAAGCAACAGCGAGUGGGGGUGGUGCCGGGUAGUUCUCAGAAUGGCGGGUAUGUUGGUAUGGGGGCAGUGCCGAUGCCGGGACACUUGAUGGCUCCGGCGGGGCCAGCGGUAGGAGGAGGCGUUGCAGGGACGGCGGUGCAACCAGUUAAUCCGGCAGUUGGGCAGGCACUAACGGCAUUGCUGGCAUCUCGGAGUGCCGGGUUGCAAUUGAGUGGGUUCUUGGGUAUUGGGUCACCGGGGACGAACACUGGCGGUUAUGUUGGACAAGGGAGUGUGAAUCCCGGGGCUGUUGCUGUUGGUGGGUAUGGGAAUCAAGUAGCGUUGCCAGGUUCAUAUGCAAGCCAGCAGCAGGUGGGGAUAGGUGGAUCUGGAAGAGUGCAGCAGCCUCAUGGUGUGGGACAGUAUGGUGGCGUUGUGCCUUACAUGGGUCACUAGGUGUGCUUUCAGGUUGGCUUGCCAUUCUACGUUCACACAAGAAAGAAAGUUAUCAUCAAAUUAGCUUGGAAGGAAUAGUUUGCCAGUGAAGAAAAAUUCUAUGAAUAUGAUUUGUCACUGUUUAUACUUAAAUUAUCAUCAAGAAAUUAGGGGAAAGACAGGGGUAUAUGCGCACCAUGGAAGAAGGGCCAAUGUUGAAGAUGGAGGAAGGUGCAGCAGUAUAUGUGCAACAUGGAGCAAGGGGAAGAAAAAUGGGAAGGAUAAGGUUUUUUUUAAAAUAUAAAUUUAAUGGGGUCUUGGAAUUUUGUCAAUCCAACUUAUUAUUUUUGGAUUCACUUCCUUUAUGAUUUUUUUAUGAUUUUGUAAUAAUAGUUAGUUCUCGGCUCAGUCAUUACUAUGCUA
This is an RNA transcript of Vigna angularis (adzuki bean), 1823 nucleotides long. It is a transcript of the gene named UBP1-associated protein 2A, with no coding region annotated. The transcript is spliced from 3 exons. Lineage: Eukaryota; Viridiplantae; Streptophyta; Magnoliopsida; Fabales; Fabaceae. The record is from RefSeq and is a predicted model, not a curated record.